This is a non-coding RNA of Heterocephalus glaber (naked mole-rat), 338 nucleotides long. The record is from Rfam. Lineage: Eukaryota; Metazoa; Chordata; Mammalia; Rodentia; Bathyergidae.
GGACGCGAGGGCGAUCUGGCUGUGACAUCUGUCACCCCAUUGAUCACUAGGGUUGAUUCGGCUGAUCUGGCUGGCUAGGCAGGUGACCCUUCCUCCCUCAUUGCUCGAUGUUCGUCCCUCCCGAAACUGCUUGGCUGAGGAGGAUGACCAGCCCUGACAGAGGAGGGUAUAGGACUCAGUCAAGGGUAUAGGACUCACUCAAGUGUAUAGGACUAGCUGUGCUCCCCUGCUAGAAUCUCCUAACAAGCUCUCAAGAAUGGGCAAAAGAAGAGGCCAGAUGGUUCACAGAAUAAUAAAUGAAAAUAACCUUUUUUUUCUUAACAGUGCUGGGGAUCAAA